GUGAACAUGUGGUUUAUUUCUAACCAAUGAGAAUUCAUGGAGAAUCUGCUGGGGGGAGGAUUUAAGGAACUUGCUUUUUCUCCCAGAUAAGAGAGAGUUUGCGAGCUAGCUGUGGGAAGGGGAUUUUUUUGCCUCUUGUGUUUUGGAUACCAUCAACUGAAGUCCAUUCCUUAGCUCAGGCUCCUUUAGGGAGCCCAUCUACUCACACAUCAACUUUCCAUGGGAUAUACUGCUUGGAGCUGGCAGCCAGCACCCUGAGGCUACGAAGAAAAGAGUUGCUCAUGCUUGAAGAAACCAGCCCUCAUGUUAUGGUGGUACUCGGGUAACUCAAGAAGAGGAACUGAAGCUUCCUUCCAACAGCACCAGAUUUUACUUUGGCACUGGAAAAUCCUGAUGUCAUCUGGCCUUGCACACCAGUGUCAGCGAAGACAGAGUUUAGAUGGAAUCUUUUAAAUCUACCUCUUUGAUGUCAAGAGAAAUUCAAAUAAAAUGCUGAAAUAAAUACGUAGAUGUAAACUUGGAUAAAAAUUUACAGGGGUCUGGAAAUUGAAUGCUGGACAUUAUUUCAAAAUGAUGGAGUGAUAAUUUGGUUGAAAAAAGAAAACACAGAAAGGUACACAGUGAAGAAUGAAUGUGUCCCCUACUUGUUGUUCCUAGUUUCACUUCUCAGAUAAAGUCACUUCUAACUGUUGGUUAUUAUAAUGCUAAUAAUAAACUUGAUUCAAUGUUAUUAA
Felis catus (domestic cat) is the source of this 734-nucleotide long non-coding RNA. RefSeq lists it as uncharacterized. The record is from RefSeq and is a predicted model, not a curated record. The transcript has 3 exons. Lineage: Eukaryota; Metazoa; Chordata; Mammalia; Carnivora; Felidae.